AUUGAACGCUGGCGGCAGGCCUAACACAUGCAAGUCGAGCGAGCGGCGGACGGGUGAGUAAUGUAUGGGGACUGCCCGAUAGCGGGGGAUAACUACUGGAAACGGUAGCUAAUACCGCAUACUAUCGGAUAACCCAUAUGGGAUUGGAUAGAUGGUGAGGUAAUGGCUCACCAAGGCGACGAACCCUAGCUGGUCUGAGAGGAUGAUCAGCCACACUGGGACUGAGACGCGGCCCAGACUCCUACGGAGGCAGCAGUGGGGAAUAUUGCACAAUGGGCGCAAGCCUGAUGGAGCCAUGCCGCGUGUAUGAAGAAGGCCCUAGGGUUGUAAAGUACUUUCAUUCGGGAGGCGUUACCGACAGAAGAAGCACCGGCUAACUCCGUGCCAGCAGCCGCGGUAAUAC
RNAcentral lists this ribosomal RNA (403 nucleotides) under uncultured bacterium. Its description in RNAcentral is "partial 16S ribosomal RNA". It matches the Rfam family "Bacterial small subunit ribosomal RNA", at positions 30 to 526 of the family's 1533-position model. The record is from RNAcentral.